RNAcentral lists this long non-coding RNA (551 nucleotides) under Phoenix dactylifera (date palm). RNAcentral's name for it is "long non-coding RNA (PDAC_LNC012623)". Lineage: Eukaryota; Viridiplantae; Streptophyta; Magnoliopsida; Arecales; Arecaceae. The record is from RNAcentral.
AGAAUCAGUUUCGGGGACCCUGUGAACGAGUUGACUCCAGGUGUUCCAGAGUCGUCUUCCAAGUCAUCCGAGUCGACUCCUAGUUUGGCCGAGUCGACUCGUGAGAGAAAUACAGAAAGUUGGAUUUCUGGAACCCUGAGAACGAGCCGACCCCGAAGUGCCCGAGUCGUCUCCAGCUGUUGAUGAGUCGACUCCAGUUUGGUCCGAGUCAACCCCAAGACAAGGCAUGCACUUUAAUUCAAAUUUGGAACAUUGGCCAAGUCAUCUCUAGUAAAGUGCGAGUCAACACCAGUAACAGCCGAGUCGACUCCAGAUCGCGCGAGCCGACUCCGAUCCUAACGGAUACAUUGUCAGAAUGUGCAGAUGGAUCAGAACAGCUCUUAUCUCCUCUCUAAUGGCUAUUUUUCGAAGGAAAUCACUUAAAUAGCUAGACUGAACAGUAGUAGACAAGAAGAGAGUUAUUCCAUUUGAGCAUUAAAGAUUUUCAACCAUCAAAAGCUUCUCAAGAUUGAAUCCAAGUAAGAGAAGGGAGAAGUGCAUUCACCUCAAAC